UCGACAGCACGACACUGCCUUCA
RNAcentral lists this microRNA (23 nucleotides) under Dasypus novemcinctus (nine-banded armadillo). Its description in RNAcentral is "dno-miR-196b-3p". Its record names the gene dno-miR-196b-3p. RNAcentral also lists the same sequence under 14 other names. The record is from miRBase by way of RNAcentral. Lineage: Eukaryota; Metazoa; Chordata; Mammalia; Cingulata; Dasypodidae.